ACAUUAAAUCUUUAGACGCAUGCAUGAAGUAUUAAAUAUAGACAAAAAUAAAAACUAAUUGUACAAUUUGGUCGGAAUUGAUGAGACGACUCUUUUGAGUCUAAUUAGUACAUGAUUGGAUAGUAUUUGUCAAAUACAAACGAAAGUAUACUAUUCCUAUUUUGCAAAUAGACAAAAAUAAAAACUAAUUGCACUGUUUACCUGUAAUUUGUAAGAUGAAUCUUUUGAGCCUAAUUUUUUCAUAAUUGGACAAUGUUUGUCAAAUAAAUAUGAAAGUGCUACAGUAGCCAAAAACUGCAAUUUUUGCGAACUAAACAAGGCCUGAGAAAUGAAAAUGAAAAAAAAUGAAAAAAAUAUGAAUAAACAAAGAAAUAACUAUAGUGAUGUUCACGUAAUAUAUAUACGAUGUUCUUUAAAUUUUUUUCUUUGUUACAUGUAUUUAUUUUUUUCUUAUGCUUUGCUCUAGUUAUUAUUUGUAUUACAUUAUAUAUUUAUUUAUUUUCAUGUAUAUUAUAGUACCAAUUUCUUAUAAAUCUAGAAUAUUGCUUCUGCUCUAUAAAGGGCAGAGCCCUUUCUUCUCCUUCCCCACCGCGCCCGAUCUAGCCCUAACCGCCGCAUUUCUUAUAAAUCUGGAAAUGUGAUAUAAUAUUUGUUCCCUAUUUCUUCCUUCUUCUAGAUCGACGUCUCUCUGCCGUCGUCACCAAAGUCCCCGUCGAGUCUCCGCACCGACUGCCGUCUCACCGCCUUCAAACUACAUGUAUGUCGAGAUGAAUCUAUUAGUGGUACAAUUAGUGCUAUAAUUAGUGGUACAAUUAGUGGUUUAAAUUAGUGGUACAAUUAUGAUAUAUUUAAUUAUUAGCAAAUGAUAUACACUAAACCCUAAACCUAAGCCCUAAACCCUAAACCCUAAACCCUAACCCCUGAACCCUAACCCCUAAACCCUAACCCCUGA
Molecule: long non-coding RNA, 952 nt
Filed under: Sorghum bicolor (sorghum)
Lineage: Eukaryota; Viridiplantae; Streptophyta; Magnoliopsida; Poales; Poaceae
Description: long non-coding RNA (SBIC_LNC005092)
Source: RNAcentral